GCUUACCAUGAAUAACUUCCUACAAUCACUCUAGUUUUCUGGUUUCCUUCUAUAACCAACAGCCAACCUGGUUUCCCUGUAUAGUUUGUUUCCUUGUAUAAACCAGUAAUUGGCCUAAUAUGUAAUGGUGACUUGCUAAAAUUUAAUUCAUUCUAAAUUCUAAUUAUUUUUAUCAUGGUAUCAGAGCCCUCAAUCAUAGUUUUCUAAGAACUCCC
Molecule: long non-coding RNA, 215 nt
Filed under: Populus tremula
Lineage: Eukaryota; Viridiplantae; Streptophyta; Magnoliopsida; Malpighiales; Salicaceae
Description: long non-coding RNA (PTRE_LNC003114)
Source: RNAcentral